UUCGGCGGUUAUAGACAGUGGGUCACACCCGUUCCCAUUCCGAACACGGAAGUUAAGCCAUAUGUCGCUGAUGGUACCUGGUCUCUCAGGCCCGGAAGAGUAGGUUGCCGCCGGAU
Molecule: ribosomal RNA, 116 nt
Filed under: Fibrobacteres bacterium CG2_30_45_31
Lineage: Bacteria; Pseudomonadati; Fibrobacterota
Also listed under: 1 other name
Source: RNAcentral